AGGAAGUAGCACAUUUUUGGCACCCUGGGAACUACUUCCUUCCCCUCCACUCUGCACAUGGAGGUGAGCUAUGAUGUAGCUAUGGGCUCUCCAUGCCUCCAUGCCAUGGUACUUCAGAGGGAAGAGAAGUCACAUCUACUACCAGAUCACUGCAGCUCACUUUCCAAUGUGGGAAACUGACUUAGAAGACUGUUGUCAAGGACAAUGAAUCAGGAGGAUAUGGAGCCCAGAUUUUACCACAGAAGCUAGGCUUUGAAGAGGACAGAAGGAAGUGACUCUCUGAUAGCUUGCCCUUCCAAGUUUGUAGUUCAUUUAUUUUCGUCAAAGCUGAAUUGAAAGGGAAAGUCAAUCCUGGUGACAAACCUUUCUCCACUGUCAUGUUUUGACUGCCCUCAUUGGCUUUGCAUUGACCCAAGUGGAAAAUCCAUUGUGUUGAGUUAUGAGAAGGAAUAAAGAACAAAGUCUUGUAUUGAAAGGU
Non-coding RNA from Peromyscus maniculatus bairdii (prairie deer mouse), 478 nucleotides. The record is from RefSeq and is a predicted model, not a curated record. NCBI's taxonomy places the organism in Eukaryota, Metazoa, Chordata, Mammalia, Rodentia, Cricetidae.